RNAcentral lists this transfer RNA (67 nucleotides) under Pseudaesopia japonica (wavyband sole). RNAcentral describes it as "tRNA-Tyr". It matches the Rfam family "tRNA". Rfam says of the family: Transfer RNA (tRNA) molecules are approximately 80 nucleotides in length. Their secondary structure includes four short double-helical elements and three loops (D, anti-codon, and T loops). Lineage: Eukaryota; Metazoa; Chordata; Actinopteri; Pleuronectiformes; Soleidae. The record is from RNAcentral.
GGUAGGGUGGCUKAGUAAGUGGUGGRUUGUAGMCCCAUAGACAGAGGUGUAAGCCCUCUCCCUAUCA